This 1134-nucleotide long non-coding RNA is filed under the name Fukomys damarensis (Damara mole-rat). RNAcentral describes it as "lncRNA (ENSFDAG00000027861.1)". The record is from RNAcentral. Lineage: Eukaryota; Metazoa; Chordata; Mammalia; Rodentia; Bathyergidae.
AAGAGCUGGAAAAGUUUUUCCCACAUUGCGGGUUGUCUCUUCACACUGUUGGUUCUUUCUCUUGCUGUGCAGAAGAUUUCUAAUAAGAAGAGAUCCCACUUGUUGAGACUUUGUGCUAAUUUAUGGGCAACUGAGGUUUUGCUCAUAAAAUAUUUUCCUGCACUAGUGUCUUCAAGAAUUUCACAUAACCUUUCUUCCAACCAGUUUAGUGUUUCUGUUUUAAUAUUUAGAUCUUUAAUCCAUUUUGAUUUUAAUUUAGUGCAUGGUGAGAAAUACAGGCCUAGUUUUAAUCUCACAUGUCUAUGUUUGCUGGACAUUUCUGUUCAUAUGAAUUUAAUUUAGGUGAUCUCAGCUGAGCUUACUAACGGUGUUGGCAGAUGGCUGGAGAGUUGUUGAGGGAUAAAAUAACUAGGUUGUGCUCUGUCUUUCAACUUCUAGUGGACAACAUUUAGCUUGACCUUAUUCUUAUGGAGAAGGUGAAGAAACAAAGAAAGAAUGGAAACCAGCAAGGCCUUUUGAGAUCUGGAGUUGGAAUUAGCAGGAAUCACCAGGACAGCUCAGACUCAAGGAACAGGAAAUGAGGGUAGAGAAGAGGAGCUGCUGAGUGAAGAAAUAACUACUGCAAGUGUUUCCUUGUAAUUAUGAACAGUUACAGCUGCCUGUGACUUCAAAAAGCAAUGCUUAUGAUUCUGGAAAGUGGCAUUUUAAGUUUCACGUUGGCCAUGGACUUUCUAGCCAGCAUACCUGAAUGCACUGUUUGCUCAGUCAGCCCUGACUUUGCACUUUCUGCUUCCCCAAAGGCAAUGCCUGCCUACUCUCUAUUUUCAUCUCCACACAGGCUCAGAUGUUAUCUCUAUGAACACUCCAUGUAUGACUCCUUGCUUCUUGGCUUUUCUCCUGAGGUCAUCUGUAUGUGUACGAUCACUUGGAACUUAGUGAAUAUAAUGUGGAAUUUCUUGGUCACAGAUUCUAUAAAAACAGAAGCCAUGUUUCACAUUCUCAUCACUGUUCCCUCAGUUAUGAUAGCACCCGGUAUAUGCUUACUGAAUAUCUACAUAAUUUAUGAAGAAUAAAAGGACAAAAAUGUGGGAUGGAAAUAAUUAAAACUUCUACCUUUUAAAAAGAAAUACAAAC